GGCUCAGAACGAACGCUGGCGGCAUGCUUAACACAUGCAAGUCGCACGGUCUGGAGGUUUCGGCCUUUGGGCAGUGGCGGACGGGUGAGUAACGCGUAGGUAUUUAUCCUCAGGUGGGGGACAACCGCGGGAAACUGCGGCUAAUACCGCAUGACGGGCCUGGUUGGGAGAUCGGGUUCCAAAGGCCUUUGGGCUGCCUGGGGCGAAGCCUGCGUCCGAUUAGCUGGUUGGUGGGGUAACGGCCUACCAGGGCAUCGAUCGGUAGCUGGUCUGAGAGGAUGAUCAGCCACACUGUUUCUGAGACACGACGACCGACUCCUACNGGGAGUCAGCAGUGGGGA
This 341-nucleotide ribosomal RNA is filed under the name uncultured Acetobacteraceae bacterium. Its description in RNAcentral is "bacterial SSU rRNA". It matches the Rfam family "Bacterial small subunit ribosomal RNA", at positions 21 to 360 of the family's 1533-position model. Lineage: Bacteria; Pseudomonadati; Pseudomonadota; Alphaproteobacteria; Acetobacterales; Acetobacteraceae. The record is from RNAcentral.